RNAcentral lists this ribosomal RNA (497 nucleotides) under uncultured bacterium. Its description in RNAcentral is "partial 16S ribosomal RNA". It matches the Rfam family "Bacterial small subunit ribosomal RNA", at positions 28 to 507 of the family's 1533-position model. The record is from RNAcentral.
GAUGAACGCUGGCGGCGUGCCUAAUACAUGCAAGUCGAGCUAACAGACGAGGAGCUUGCUCCUCUGACGUUAGCGGCGGACGGGUGAGUAACACGUGGAUCACCUACCUAUAAGACUGGGAUAACUUCGGGAAACCGGAGCUCAUACCGGAUAAUAUAUUGAACCGCAUGGUUCAAUAGUGAAAGACGGUUUUGCUGUCACUUAUAGAUGGAUCCGCGCCGCAUUAGCUAGUUGGUAAGGUAACGGCUUACCAAGGCGACGAUGCGUAGCCGACCUGAGAGGGUGAUCGGCCACCCUGUAACUCAGACACGGUCCAGACCCCUACGGGAGGCACCAUUAGGGAAUCUUCCGCAAUGAGCGAAAGCCUGACGGAGCAACGCCGCUUGAGUGAUGAAGGUCUUCGGAUCGUAAAACUCUGUUAUUAGGGAAGAACAAAUGUGUAAGUAACUAUGCACGUCUUGACGGUACCUAAUCAGAGAGCCACGGCUAACUACGGG